RNAcentral lists this ribosomal RNA (229 nucleotides) under uncultured bacterium. RNAcentral describes it as "partial 16S ribosomal RNA". It matches the Rfam family "Bacterial small subunit ribosomal RNA", at positions 107 to 334 of the family's 1533-position model. The record is from RNAcentral.
UGAGUAACACGUAUCCAACCUGCCAUCUACUCUUGGCCAGCCUUCUGAAAGGAAGAUUAAUCCAGGAUGGCAUCAUGAGUUCACAUGUCCGCAUGAUUAAAGGUAUUUUCCGGUAGACGAUGGGGAUGCGUUCCAUUAGAUAGUAGGCGGGGUAACGGCCCACCUAGUCAACGAUGGAUAGGGGUUCUGAGAGGAAGGUCCCCCACAUUGGAACUGAGACACGGUCCAA